This 123-nucleotide non-coding RNA is filed under the name Notamacropus eugenii (tammar wallaby). The record is from RNAcentral. Lineage: Eukaryota; Metazoa; Chordata; Mammalia; Diprotodontia; Macropodidae.
CCCAUAUAUGAAAAGAGAGAAGGUUAGCGUUCCCCUUCAUAAGGACGAAAGAGGACUUGGUAGCCUUUAUAAACACAUAUAAAGUUAAGGCAUUACCACCUACUCUGUGGCAUCUAACCAUGU